This 497-nucleotide ribosomal RNA is filed under the name uncultured bacterium. RNAcentral describes it as "partial 16S ribosomal RNA". It matches the Rfam family "Bacterial small subunit ribosomal RNA", at positions 28 to 507 of the family's 1533-position model. The record is from RNAcentral.
GAUGAACGCCGGCGGCGUGCCUAAUACAUGCAAGUCGAGCGAACGGACGAGAAGCUUGCUUCUCUGAUGUUAGCGGCGGACGGGUGAGUAACACGUGGAUAACCUACCUAUAAGACUGGGAUAACUUCGGGAAGCCGGAGCUAAUACCGGAUAAUAUUUUGAACCGCAUGGUUCAAAAGUGAAAGACGGUCUUGCUGUCACUUAUAGAUGGAUCCGCGCUGCAUUAGCUAGUUGGUAAGGUAACGGCUUACCAAGGCAACGAUGCAUAGCCGACCUGAGAGGGUGAUCGGCCACACUGGAACUGAGACACGGUCCAGACUCCUACGGGAGGCAGCAGUAGGGAAUCUUCCGCAAUGGGCGAAAGCCUGACGGAGCAACGCCGCGUGAGUGAUGAAGGUCUUCGGAUCGUAAAACUCUGUUAUUAGGGAAGAACAUAUGUGUAAGUAACUGUGCACAUCUUGACGGUACCUAAUCAGAAAGCCACGGCUAACUACGUG